RNAcentral lists this ribosomal RNA (468 nucleotides) under uncultured bacterium. RNAcentral describes it as "partial 16S ribosomal RNA". It matches the Rfam family "Bacterial small subunit ribosomal RNA", at positions 28 to 507 of the family's 1533-position model. The record is from RNAcentral.
GACGAACGCUGGCGGCGUGCUUAACACAUGCAAGUCGAACGGAAAGGCCCUGCUUUUGUGGGGUGCUCGAGUGGCGAACGGGUGAGUAACACGUGAGUAACCUGCCCUUGACUUUGGGAUAACUUCAGGAAACUGGGGCUAAUACCGGAUAGGAGCUCCUGCUGCAUGGUGGGGGUUGGAAAGUUUCGGCGGUUGGGGAUGGACUCGCGGCUUAUCAGCUUGUUGGUGGGGUAGUGGCUUACCAAGGCUUUGACGGGUAGCCGGCCUGAGAGGGUGACCGGCCACAAUGGGACUGCGGUACGGCCCAGACUCCUACGGGAGGCAGCAGUGGGGAAUAUUGCACAAUGGGCGGACGCCUGAUGCAGCAACGCCGCGUGCGGGAUGACGGCCUUCGGGUUGUAAACCGCUUUCGCCUGUGACGAAGCGUGAGUGACGGUAAUGGGUAAAGAAGCACCGGCUAACUACGUG